Molecule: ribosomal RNA, 775 nt
Filed under: uncultured Neocallimastigales
Lineage: Eukaryota; Fungi; Neocallimastigomycota; Neocallimastigomycetes; Neocallimastigales
Description: partial large subunit ribosomal RNA
Rfam family: Eukaryotic large subunit ribosomal RNA
Source: RNAcentral
AUCUCUGUAGAGUCUGCAUAUCAAUAAGCGGAGGAAAAGAAACUAACUAGGAUUCCCUUAGUAACGGCGAGUGAAGCGGGAAGAGCUCAAAUUUGAAAUCUUCAAGGUUUUACCUUGACGAAUUGUAGUUUAAAGAAGUGUUUUCUGUUGAGUGUUUCGGUAAAAGUUCUUUGGAAUAGGACAUCAUAGAGGGUGAGAAUCCCGUAUUUGACCAUUACUUUCCAGCUGUGUGAUACACUUUCAAAGAGUCGGAUUGUUUGGGAAUGCAGUCCAAAAUGGGUGGUAAAUUUCAUCUAAAGCUAAAUAUUGGCGAGAGACCGAUAGCGAACAAGUACCGUGAGGGAAAGAUGAAAAGAACUUUGAAAAGAGAGUUAAACAGUACGUGAAAUUGUCAAAAGGGAAGCGUUUGACACCAGUGUUGUUUUCUCGAAAAUCAAUUAAAAAUGGCUUGAUUUUGUGUUGUAUUGACCUUAAAAGCUUUCUUCACUUUUUUCAUGUCUUUUUUAAUGCACUUUUCGUUUAACAAGUCAACAUCAGUUUCUUUUGUUGUAAAAAGGUCAUUGGAAGGUGGCUUUCUUUUCGGAGAAAGUGUUUAUAGCCUUUGACUUCUGCAAUCGGAGAGACUGAGGUCUGCAGCGUAGAUCCUUCUGGAUUAGAUUCAUUUGUGCUAAGUUACAACCGUUUAUAGACAACUUGUUGACUAUAUUCGAUCCUGUAGCUUACUCGCUUAUGUAAUUUUACCUACGCUUAGGAUGUUGAUAUGCAUGACUGAUAU